UCUUUGUUUGAUUGUGGUUGUCUUUUAAAGGUCUUGCUAUACCACUCAGGCUGGCUUCAAACUUCUGGGUUCAGGUGAACCUCCUGCCUCAGCGUCUCAAGUAGCUAGGACUACAGGAAUAUAUCACUGUGUGACCAAUUAGAGGCAUACCAUAUUUUAAGGACUUCUGAAGUCAUUAUGCUUUGAAAUACUUCUCACACAUUUCUUUGGACUUAAAAAUCAUGAACAGACCUCUCACAAACCAGUUAAAAUAUACAAAUAUGUUGUGUCACGUGGGUUGUGUAGGUAUUUGUUAAAUUAAAACAGUCUCACCAGUAACAGACUGAUUUUUAUCAGUUUCCUUUGACACAUCUUAUACUCUUCCCUUGGGUUAAAGGUAAAACCCAAGAAUAACACCUUUUUGACACCGAAGGAUAUUCAAGCCAGAGGGAUGCAGUGUUGUCCAAGGGAAAUCUGUACUUGCUGAGCAACAUGGAAAGGUGUCCUGUUAAGAGAGAGGACUAUCUUUUUAUAGUGUCUUUAUGUGAACUCCUUGGUCUUGGGAAGGGCGACUGAAGGAAAGAUGUAUUUUUAUAGCCAAGACAUGGAGAGUUUCUAGGGUAUUAAUUUGAAUCUCAUGAUGCAUAUCCAUGAACAAAUUACAUAGUAGCAUUUAUGGCUGUUUCAAGUAUAAUAGCUUUAGUUUUGUGAAUAACAAUUUAAUUUAAAGGCUUGAUGCUACAAUUGGUAGGUUUUUAAUUUUCCCAACUAGACCACAAGCAACUUUAAUGACUUGAUGCCACCAAUCUAAUUUUAGAAUUAACAGGAAAUACAAGUACAUCAUCUUACCCUCCACCAGGGGGAGCUUCAGUAUCAUAUGAUGCUUCUACCAGCAUUUCCUUACAAAGAGUCAUGGAGUUUACAACUUAAUUAGGCAAAAAAUAUACACAAAAUUUUGAGAAGGUAUGAAUACCAUUAACUUAAUGCAUUGUAGCCACUUAUUUUUCUUAAUGUUUGGAGAAACAGUGGCUGCUAGCAUGUAACUGCCAUCUCCCCGCAGCUCUGAACUCGCCUUGGUCUGCCAUCCUCAUCUGCCGUCAUCAGAGACCUCCUUUUUCUCCUCAAUAAGACCGUCUCCUUUUCUGAAGUUGUAAUGUACUUUUUUGUCUACUUCAUUAAAACAAGUGAUUUUGAGUCAUUUUUUUCUCUCUGUAAGAAUAGUAAUAAAACAUAC
RNAcentral lists this long non-coding RNA (1213 nucleotides) under Mus pahari (shrew mouse). RNAcentral's name for it is "predicted gene 43848 (MGP_PahariEiJ_G0005775.1)". The record is from RNAcentral. Lineage: Eukaryota; Metazoa; Chordata; Mammalia; Rodentia; Muridae.